This 104-nucleotide ribosomal RNA is filed under the name uncultured bacterium. RNAcentral describes it as "partial 16S ribosomal RNA". The record is from RNAcentral.
CCCGGACCUUGUACCACACCGCCCGUCAAGGCCAUUGGGAGUCGAGAGGACCUGAAGGCAGUUGCUGUAAGGCGCUGUUUAGGGUUAAAUCGAUGACUAGGGCU